This 253-nucleotide ribosomal RNA is filed under the name uncultured bacterium. Its description in RNAcentral is "partial 16S ribosomal RNA". It matches the Rfam family "Bacterial small subunit ribosomal RNA", at positions 524 to 776 of the family's 1533-position model. The record is from RNAcentral.
UACAGAGGGGGCAAGCGUUGUUCGGAAUUACUGGGCGUAAAGGGCGCGUAGGCGGCCUGUUAAGUCAGACGUGAAAUCCCCGGGCUCAACCCGGGAACUGCGUCUGAUACUGGCAGGCUUGAAUCCGGGAGAGGGAUGCGGAAUUCCAGGUGUAGCGGUGAAAUGCGUAGAUAUCAGGAGGAACACCGGUGGCGAAGGCGGGUCUCUGGGCCGAUACUGACGCUGAGGAGCGAAAGCGUGGGGAGCGAACAGG